UCCUACNGGGGGGGSWGCCAGUAGGGAAUCUUCCGCAAUGGGCGAAAGCCUGACGGAGCAAUGCCGCGUGAGUGAUGAAGGUUUUCGGAUCGUAAAGCUCUGUUGCCAGGGAAGAACGCUUGGGAGAGUAACUGCUCUCAAGGUGACGGUACCUGAGAAGAAAGCCCCGGCUAACUACGUGCCAGCAGCCGCGGUAAUACGUAGGGGGCAAGCGUUGUCCGGAAUUAUUGGGCGUAAAGCGCGCGCAGGCGGUCAUUUAAGUCUGGUGUUUAAUCCCGGGGCUCAACCCCGGAUCGCACUGGAAACUGGGUGACUUGAGUGCAGAAGAGGAGAGUGGAAUUCCACGUGUAGCGGUGAAAUGCGUAGAUAUGUGGAGGAACACCAGUGGCGAAGGCGACUCUCUGGGCUGUAACUGACGCUGAGGCGCGAAAGCGUGGGGAGCAAACAGGAUUAGAUCCCNCCKGGAAGUCAA
Molecule: ribosomal RNA, 472 nt
Filed under: Paenibacillus mobilis
Lineage: Bacteria; Bacillati; Bacillota; Bacilli; Caryophanales; Paenibacillaceae
Description: bacterial SSU rRNA
Source: RNAcentral